This 65-nucleotide transfer RNA is filed under the name Helota thoracica. RNAcentral describes it as "tRNA-Leu". RNAcentral also lists the same sequence under 1 other name. The record is from RNAcentral. Lineage: Eukaryota; Metazoa; Arthropoda; Insecta; Coleoptera; Helotidae.
AUUAUUUUGGCAGAUUAGUGCUUUGGAUUUAGAAUCUAAGAAUAUGAUUUAUAUCAUAAAUAAUA